AGAGAAUCACUUGAACCCGGGAGGCGGAGCUUGCAGUGAGCCGAGAUUCUGCCACGGCACUCCAGCCUGGGCAACAGAG
RNAcentral lists this small nuclear RNA (79 nucleotides) under Homo sapiens (human). RNAcentral's name for it is "partial ncRNA". The record is from RNAcentral. Lineage: Eukaryota; Metazoa; Chordata; Mammalia; Primates; Hominidae.